AUGAGGCGCUCGCAGGCACCUCGAGAAGCAGGCCCCGACCGCUCGCCGACGAAGCCUCGUCCGGGCCUCCUGGGAGCGGGGUGGCAGGUACCGUGGCGCCUCCUCGCGUUGGUCUUGCUGGUUCUCGGCCCCCGAAGCGGAGCGACGGAGACACAGCUGUGGAAGCAUCUGGAUCCGCUGCCCAGGUCCCCGAGCUUCCCGGAACCCGAGGCCGCAGGACACUGAAGGCUGCCAUUCCCGAGUAGGUCACGCUGGACGCCACCCUAAGCUGGGCCCAGAGGCUCCCGUCCAGGAGGGCUGCAGUCGGCGCAGACACCGCGCGUGUGGAGACGGGAGACCCAUCCUCCUCGGCCGUUCCGAGAGUAGGCGCGGCCGGUCAGAUUCGAUGCAGAGCCGAAUGCGGGAGAAAGGGCAAAACGUACCUCAAACCAGACAAAGCCUUGUGAGCUUCAGGUAAGUGAGUGCAGUAAAGACCGGUAAGGCCCACGCAGAAGAAACACUGAGGAAAGAAGACACUUCCAAAGUAACAAAUGGGAGGAAGCAGCCAACGCCCGAGGACAACAUGGCAAGAAGGAGCCUUUGGAUUCCGGACUGGGAUGGAAAGAGAGUUGAUUGAAUCCCGGAAUUUGGAAACCCCAGAUACGGAGGGCGGACGGUACAACCGGAGCUGUCAGGUGGAUUUCCAAGGCUUUGCAUUGGCUGUACCUGAAACUUAUGGUGGCCUAGACUCCCCAGUAUCCACUCUUCCUUAUCUUGGUAAACAAGCCCAGUUCUGAGUCACAUCCCUGCUCUGCCUACUUACAGGGGCAUGUGGUCCCAAUCUAAGCAACGUAGCAUAAUUCCAACCUAAAUCAGCAGAAUCCCAUUCCCUGCCACAGUUAUUGGCUGGCAAUGAGCGUAACAUAUUUGGGCCAAUGAGAGGAGCAAUUUCCUGGUCUUUGUUGGGAAAAGUUUUUCUUUCAUUUUCUGAGAGCGCUUCAGAGGUAACCCAUUCUUUCUGCAUGUCCUCAAAAAAACGGGUCCCCUGGAUGGUGGGUAGCCAUCUUCCAAAUACAAGUCUAGCCGGGUUAAAAUAAAGAAGACAUCAAGAAAACAAACAUGCAUAGAGAUCUGAUCUUUGGUGACUUUUUUUUUUUUUUUUUUUGAGAUGUAGUCUGGCUCUGUCACCAGGCUGGAGUGUGGUGGCAGGAUCUCGGCUCACUGCAACCUCCGCCUCCCAGGUUCAAGCGAUUCUCCUGCCUCAGCCUCCCAAAUAGCAGGGAUUACAGGUGCGCGCCACCAUGCCCAACUAAUUUUUUAUUUUUUUAGUAGAGUCGUGGUUUCACCAUGUUGGCCAGGCUGGUCUGGAAUUCCUGACCUCAAGUGAUCUGCCCUCCUCAGGCUCCCAAAGGGCUGGGAUUACAGGCGUGAGCCACCGUGCCUGGCUUUGGUGACAUUUUUGAGGCUCUGAAUCAAGCAACUUCUGAAUUCAGGUCUAUCUUCACUGAUUAGACCAAUAGGAUUCGAAUUUUCUGUUGUCUGUAAUCUAGUGUGGUCUACACAGUACCACCCCAAUGACCAUUUUUUUAGUAGCAAAGACAUAAACGUCAGGUAGGAAGUCUGAUUAGAUCAUUUUUAAGGCCCCAUUCCCAUGUGUUUUAGUUCAUUUUCUCCUACUGCUAACAGAAUACCAUAGACUGAGUGAUUUAUAAAGAAGUUUAUUUGGCUCAUGGUUCUGGAGCCCGGUAAGUCCAAGAGCAUGGCACUGGCAUCUUUAGAGGGCCUUCUUGCCGUGUUAUCCCGUGGCAAGUGAGCACACACAAUAGAGAGUAAUCCAUUCAUGAGGGCUCUACCCUCUUAGAAGUUUCUCUUAAAGGUCUCACUUCUCAACACUUUUGCAUUGGGGGUUAAGUUGUCAACACAUGAACUUUGGGAGACACAUUGAAACCAUAGCACUGUGAUAAGAUUCUAUGACUCCACAGUAAAACUGGAAAGAAAUCUUGCAGAAGGAGAAGGUAUGUGAUCCCACAUGUUGGAUUCAUGCUGUUUUCAAGAUUCUCUUCUCAUCCUGCUCACACAACUAGUGCAGAGGAAGAAUAUCUGUCUGCCCAAACCUUCAGUCAUAGGGGCUCCCUCAUUACUUAGGGACUGAUUGGUGAAGUUUUUCAUAUCUAUUAUGGCCCGUAUAGUUUUACUUUAUAAUUUAUUUUCCUUAUUAGAUUGUGAACCCCUUGAGGGUUCGGACUGACAUGCAUCUGUCAGUACCAUGCACCUAACGUAGUGCCAAGAGCAUAGUAGACCCAAAAAGGAGGAGCUGGAAUUAAAGCUAUCAUUCAUUUGACAUUAUAACAUGAAGUUAUUUUUCAUAAUAUAGCCUUUGCUUGUGUCAUUUUUAAUAAGAGAAAAUGAUUCCCACCAGUGAAUCUCCUAUAAUAGCUCUGACUUAUAUAGAAGACAAAAAGAAUAUAAAAAGUGGAGUUUUGUAUCACUUAUAACUCAUUUCUGGGCCUUUGCUGACACAUCUAGAUAGGGCCAGAAGCCUUUAUUGAAAAGCUCAGAGAGAAACAACUAAGUAAUACAAAUUCAGUGUUAAUUAAUAGUACUAUUUGUGUAGUAUAAGUUAAUCCCUAUCGAUAAGUUAAUAUUGAAAAGUAUUUAAUGUGCAUUUCUCACAUGCCGGGCAUGGUGUUAAAUGUUUCAGGACAGAAAGUCUAAAACCCAUACUGCCCUCAAGAAAGUUAUAAUCUAAUAGAUUUUUUUUUUUGAGACAGAGUCUCACUCUAUUGCUCAGAUUAAAGUGCUGUGGCACAAUCUCAGCUCACUGCACGUUUGCCUCCUGGGAUUAGGUGAUCCUCCCACCUCAGCCUCUGAAAUACCUGAGACUACAGGUGCAUGCCACCACGCCUGGCUAAUUUUUAAAUUUUUCUUCAUAGAGACAAGGUAUCACUAUAUAGCCCAGGCUGGUCUCAAACUCCUGUGCUCAAGUGCUCCUCUCACCUCAAGCCUCCCAAAGUGCUGGGAUUAUAGGCAUGAGCCACGAUGCCCAGCAAUCUAAUAGAGCUUAGUUCACUGUCCAUUCACUGUAAUCCACUACUGGACAGACACAGGAAUUCUGUCAACAUGGUUUCAGCCUCCCCACACACACAACACACACACUUCAUCCUUGAACACACAUGCAUAUUUUAUGGGACACCAGAGUUGCCCAGAGAAACCUUUAUAGUCAAAAGGAAAAGUAGCUAAAGCAAUGGGCUUUUUGCUUCCUUGGCAGAUUGACUUAACCUUGGACCCUUUUUAGAAGACAAGUAUUCUAGGAAGCUAAGAGGAGAAGGAGAGAGAGAAGAGAAUCAAGUCAGGUGUUUAGCGGGGGUAGUAAAUUACUCUCCGGAUGAAGUGACUGGCCUCCUAACGUUAUCCACUAAGAUCCGAGGUUGACGGCUAGUAGACCGUAUGGUAGCUUUCUGCUCUAUAGGAGAAUAACUGGCCAGGUGCAGUGGCUUAUGCCCAUAAUCCCAGCACUUUGGGAGGCUGAGGCUGGCGGAUUGCUUGAGCCCAGGAGUUUCAGACCAGCCUGGGCAAUAUGGAGAAACCCUGUCUCUACAAAAAAUACAAAAAAUAGCUGGGCAUGGUCGCAUGCGCCUGUAGUCUCAGUUACUUGGGAGGCUGAGGCAGGAGGAUUGCUUGAGCCCGGGAGGCGGAGGCUGCAGUGAGCCAAGAUUGCACCAUUGCGCUCCAGCCUGGGCAAUGGGAAUGAAACUGUCUCAGAAAAGAGAAAAGGAGAAUAACUGUCCCCUUGUGACUAACAGGGAUAAUUUAUGUAACAGUGAGUUUAAUAAGUAUUAUCCUCAGUUCAUGGCACUACCAUCAUUGAUGAACUAAAAGCCAAGACUUUUUACUCUCUCAUGAGCCAAAUUCUACUAAUGACCAACCAUCUACUCUCCGCAUUCUUUUCCACCAGCCAGCAAGAACCUCCCACUGUUGUGGUAUUUCCUGGUAGAGAUUUCGUCUUUUCCCUCUGAAUGUUGAUAGAUAAAAAUAGUUCUCUACUCCUUGCCAAUAUCAUUUUUAUCCACUAUUUAAGACACUUAGAUGGCUUAUAUGAAUGCUAUAUUCAGAUAUGAGGACAUGCCCCCCCCAAUUGUCACUCAAUAUCUUUUACACUCAGUAUCUUUUUCCCCUUUAGAAUCUCCUUUCAUAUUUUAUAAAAACACACAUUUACACCAAAAUCGAGACAAAUUCAGAGGCCAGGAAAGGAAAAAAACUGCUAAACAAUCUAGAGCAUCAAACUUGGAGAGAUAUUUCCAUUUUUUUAACUUAGUAGAGUUAAUCAGAAAAAAUGAAUUAAUAACCUUUUUCCAUAUUUCUGUGUGUAUCUUGGCACAGUGCCUAGCAAGUAGUAAAUUGCUCAAAAAACAUGUGUUGAGAAAUGAAUUGUUAUUCACUUCUAGGUAGAGAUGGCAGUUGAACACAUGCUCCAAAUUUUGUUCCUUCCCAAAACCACACUAAGACAUCAGUAAUGAAAUUUUCAAAACAAUUUUUUUUUCAGACAGGAUUUUGCUCUGUCGCUCAGGCUAGAGUACAGUAGUGCAGUCACGGCUCACUGCAGCCUCGACCUUCUGGGCUCAAGGAAUCCUCCAACCUCAGCCUCCUGAGUAGCUAGCAUCACAGGCGCACACCACCAUACCCAGCUAAUUUUUGUAUUUUUUUGUAGAGACAGAGUUUCACCAUGUUGCCCAGGCUGGUCUCAAACUCCUGGGCUCAGGUGAUCUGCCUGCCUCAGCCUCCCUAAGUGCUGGAAUUACAGGCGUGAGCCACUGCACCUGGUCCCCCAAAUGUUUUGUUUGUUUUUUGUUUUUUGUUUUAGACAGUGUCACGCUCUGUUGCAGGCUGAAGUGCAACGGCGCAAUCUCGGCUCACUGCAACCUCCACCCACCAAGUUCAAGCGAUUAUCAUGUCCCAGCCUCCUGAAUAGCUGGGAUUAUAGGCGCCCGCCACCACGCCCGUCUAAUUUUUUGUAUUUUUAAUAGAGACGGGGUUUUGCCAUGUUGUCCAGGUUGGUCACGAACUCCUGACCUCAGGUGAUCUGCCCACCUCGGCUUCCCAAAAUGCUGGGAUUACCGGUGUGAGCCACUGCGCCUGGCCAUAUUGGGUACCUUUUUAAGGAAGGAGUGCCGGACUCAUGUGCUUGUAAUGGCAUGAUGGAAGUCAGCUUACAUAUUUAGAGAUUUGUGUAGGCUACUCCCACAGAUUAAGGAUUAAUUAUUUCCAAAAUAGAUGCUCUAAGAAAAAAAUCAAAAAGCAAAGAAUACUUACCACAUCAAAGCACCUGAAAAAAUCCUCCCUUUUGCCAGUAAAGUAAAACUUGUACAGACUAAAAACUUAAGUAUUUGGUGACUUGCCAGUCAUAUGAUGAGAAUAGGGAAAGGAUAGCUGUUGUUAAAAGAAUUGUUGGAUGCAGUGGCUUAUGCCUGUGAUUCCAGCACUUUGGGAGGCCGAGGUGGGUGAAUGGCUUGGGCCCAGGAGUUCAAGACCAGCCUGAGAAACAGGGAAACCCUGUCUCUACAAAAAAUUUUAAAAUUAGCUGGGCAUGAUGGCAGAUGCCUGUAGUCCCAGCUACUCAGGAGACUGAGGCAGGAGAAUCGCUUGAGCAUGUCCUUUAAUACCACAAAAAAAGUCCUUUAAUGUAGUAUGGUUGUUUAACAUAGUGGCCCACACCUGUAAUCCCAGUACUUUGGGAGGCCAAGGGGAGGAUUGCUUGAGCCCACGAGUUUGAAACCAGCCUGGGCAACAUGGCAAGACCCCAUCUCUACAAAAAAUUUUUAAAAUUUAGCUGGAUAUGGUAGCAUGCACCUGUGGUUGCAGGUAUCUGGGAGGCUGAGGCGAGAGGAUUGUUGGAGCCCAGGAGGCUGAAUCUGCAGUGAGCUGUGUUUGCACUACUGCAGUCUGCCCUGGGUGACAGAGUGAGACUUUGUCUCAAAAAAAAAAAAAAGUUGUUUAAAAAGAUGAUGGUCAUUCAUCAUCUUGGACUAUGACAAAUAUCCACUACCAUUCUUUUGCAGGUUUGGUUGUAAAGGUGGUCAGUAGAAAGUUAUGAAUGAUGAUUUAAUUUAAUUUUUCAAAAGCUUGAGUCCUUAUAAAUUCAGCUGCUAUUUUGUAGACUCCUGACUGCCUCUGCCAUUAAUUUAUUCUUUCAGUUUUUCAUCAAUUGAAUAAAUAUAUAUUAAGUACAUACUUUGUGCCAGAACUGUCUUCUAUGCUUGGACUAUACUAAUGAAAAACUAGAAAAAAAAAUCCUGUCUCCAUGGAGCUUACAUUCUAAUGGGUUGUCUUCAGUCCCUGUUGGUACUCAACAUCAGUUUUCAAACUUUUAAAUUCCAAACAAGGACAGGUUAAAUGGGUAGAGCAGAAUAAGAAAUCUAGUCUUUUUUCAGAUUUAGAAUAAGUUCUGUUUGUUGGCUUAGUUCCUAGGCACCUGGCUUUUCUUUCCUUUUCUUUUUUUUUUUUGACACAGAAUCCCACUCUGUCACCCAGGCUGGAGUGCAGUGGUGCAGUCUCGGCUCACUGCAACCUCUGACUCCCAGGUUCAAGCAAUUCUCUUGCCUCAGCCUCCUAAGCAGCUGGGAUUACAGGCGCCUACCACCAAGCCUGGCUAAUUUUUUUGUAUUUUUAGUAGAGAUGCGGUUGUUGGCCAGGCUGGUCUUGAACUCCUGACCUCAGGUGAUCCGCCCACCUCAGCCGCCCAAAGUGCUGGGAUUACCAGUGUGAGCCACCUCACCGGGUCUGCACCUGCCUUUUCAAAUACGUGGCAGGGAUGCAUUCCAAAAAGUAUUUAGUGUUUGGAAUGCUUCUCUCAUUCUAGUGAGUAACGUGAGAGCUAGCUAUUAGAAAUGUGCAUAUUGGAAGGUGGGCGUGGUGGUGCACAUUUCUUGUCCCAGCUAUGCUGAAGGCUGAGGUGGGAGGAUUGCUUGAGCCCAGGAAUUGGAGGCUGUAGUGUGCUGUGACUGCACUUAUGAUAGCCACUGCACUCCAACCUGGGUGACAGAGCGAGACUCCGUCUCAAAAAAAAAAAAAAAGAAUCUUUGAAAGUCUCGUUCCAUUGCCCGCUUGCUUCCAAUGUUGUUGUAAAACAAUGGAUUCCAUUUUUUACUUUCAGUCCUUUCUAUUUGUCUUCUUUUGUGUCCUGUCUGGAAGCUUAAAGGUCUUCUCUUUGUCUGCUGUGUAUUCAGAUUUCCUGAUCACAGACUUUGGUGUAGAUCUAUUUUUAUCCAUUGUGGUGUCCACUUGAUGAAUUCAUUCAAUUUGGUAAUUUAUACUUCAAUUCAGAGAAUUUUUCUUAGAUUAUUUCAUUUACUUUUUUUUUUUCUGAGCUCUUACUAUUUGAAUUCUGAACUUCUUGAACUGGUCUUCUCUGUCUUUCUGCUUAAAUUUCCUUAAUUUUCUUUUCUAAUCUUUUUUUUUUCAUUUCUACUUUUCUAUUUUCUUUUCUUUUGCUUUUUCUUUAUUUUUAUUUUUAUUUUUUUAAGUAGAUACAGGAUUUCACUGGUUUUGCCCAGGCUGGUCCCAAACUCCUGAGCUCAGGAAAUCCAUCCACC
Molecule: long non-coding RNA, 7568 nt
Filed under: Homo sapiens (human)
Lineage: Eukaryota; Metazoa; Chordata; Mammalia; Primates; Hominidae
Description: HSALNT0381460
Source: RNAcentral